UAUAUUUUCAAAAUAUAUACUUAUAUAGUUAAAGAAUAAUAAAAAUUAAAAAAAAAAAUUAAAUAAUUAUAAACUGAAAAGGAAAAUUUCAAAGUUCUGAAAAGUCAGUUUUUGUACCUCUAGCAUUAGGGUUUAUCAAAAAUAAAUAAAUUUUUAUUUUUCUCGAAAUAAAUAGAUCUAAAUUUAAUACAAUUUACUUAUUUCAAAAAGUUAAUAAAAUUGAAUUUAGAAGUGAAAUUCUUACCAAAAUUUAUGUUAUCUAGUUUUUUAAAAAAACUAAAAGUUUUCCUAUUUUUUAAAAUAAUUAUUAUUAAAAUAGAUUAUUUUUUUUGGGAUAAGCUAAAAAAAUGAUUUACAAAAUAAAGUUAUUGGAAUAAUAAGGAACAGAAUAAAUUUUCUUUUUAAUUUUUAAAAAUUAUUUUAAAAUAACGAAAAAUAAAAAUUUUUAUUUUUUUAAAAGCAAAAAAAUUGUUUUUUCUAGAUUCAUUUAAAUGAAGGGAAAAUAAAAUUGAAGAAUUCGGCAAAAAAUUUCUCUGACUGUUUAAUAAAAACAUUUUAUUUAGUUUUAAAUUAAAUAUAUAUUCUGCUCAAUGAAUAUUAUUAAAUUGCUGUAGUAUUUUGACUAUACAAAGGUAUUGAAAUAAGAUUUUAAUUGAAUGCUAAGAGAAUGGAUUUACAGAGAAAUUCUUUUUUAAUUUUAAAAAUUAAAAUUAUUUUUGUUUGUGCAGAAACAACAAUAAAAUUUAAAGACAAGAAGACCCUACGAAUUUUUAAGAAAUAUUAAAAAGCUUUUUAAUAUUUCUUUUAGUUGGGGCGACUGAUGAAUAUAAAAAACUUUAUUUUCCUUAAAAAAUUGAACCAUUAGUAAUGGUAAUAUGGAAAAAAUACUCUAGGGAUAACAGCGUAAUAAUUUUUGAUAGUUCAUAUAGACAAAAUAGUUUGCGACCUCGAUGUUGGAUUAGGAUUCUUAUUUAAUGAAGAAGUUAAAAAAAGAAGUUUGUUCAACUUUCAAAUUCCUACAUGAUCUGAGUUUAGACCGAUGAGAAUCAGGUUGGUUUCUAUCUUAAUUAUAAUUAAAUUAUAAGUUAGUACGAAAGGAAUUCUUAUAAAAAAUUAUUUUUAAGAUAUGACAGUUUUUGCAUCAAUUUUUGGAAU
Molecule: ribosomal RNA, 1155 nt
Filed under: Amblyomma tholloni
Lineage: Eukaryota; Metazoa; Arthropoda; Arachnida; Ixodida; Ixodidae
Description: 16S ribosomal RNA
Rfam family: Archaeal large subunit ribosomal RNA (bases 748-1064)
Source: RNAcentral